UACGUAGGGGGCAAGCGUUGUCCGGAAUCAUUGGGCGUAAAGCGCGUGUAGGCGGCCCGGUAAGUCCGCUGUGAAAGUCGGGGGCUCAACCCUCGGAUGCCGGUGGAUACUGUCGGGCUAGAGUGCGGGAGAGGCGAGUGGAAUUCCUGGUGUAGCGGUGAAAUGCGCAGAUAUCAGGAGGAACACCAGUGGCGAAGGCGGCUCGCUGGGCCGGACCUGACGCUGAGGCGCGAAGGCGUGGGGAGCGAACGGG
RNAcentral lists this ribosomal RNA (253 nucleotides) under uncultured bacterium. RNAcentral describes it as "partial 16S ribosomal RNA". It matches the Rfam family "Bacterial small subunit ribosomal RNA", at positions 524 to 776 of the family's 1533-position model. The record is from RNAcentral.